RNAcentral lists this long non-coding RNA (601 nucleotides) under Trifolium pratense (red clover). RNAcentral's name for it is "long non-coding RNA (TPRA_LNC010219)". Lineage: Eukaryota; Viridiplantae; Streptophyta; Magnoliopsida; Fabales; Fabaceae. The record is from RNAcentral.
GUACAUAACAGAAACAAUGAAUUUAGAAACAAAUGUUUGUAUUAUUACUUAAUUAAAAGGAAAAUAUUACAGAGAUUAAAUCCCUAUAAUUCCAGAGCUAAGCUCCUCAGAGAAGAGUGGUUCUCUCUCUGCCCAAAACCUUUCGGUUCCUAACCGAAAAGAUUCUCAAUAAUCCCUCUCUUUCCCUUACCUCAUAAAACUUCAUUAUGCUCUUUAUUACAAUAAUAGCCAUUUUCCUAUAUCACUCAUACUUGGUCUCUAUCAAUACCCAACCCUUCAAAACAACCUUGUCCACAAGGUUGGACAUGAUUCCUAUUACUCUUCAUGCUGCUAGGUGAUCCUUCAAUUCACUCGAGAAACACAGGUCUGGAUGACUCCUGACUCGUACAAUAAUGGCCCUUGAUUAUUAGACAUGUUCACACACCAUUUCAACAUCAAUUUUAGAAUGGUAUGAUAAUAAUUAGAGCUUAUGACUUGUGCGAGUUUUUUCGUAUAUUAAGACACGUUAACGCCAUUUUCGGUUGUGGUACUAUAUUGUGAUAAUAAUUUGGAGUUGCCUGAUUUCAUAACAAUUUAUUUACUAUUGGGCUCUAAGUGAUUA